AUUAUACGGCGAAACUGCGAAUGGCUCAUUAUAUAAGUUAUCGUUUAUUUGAUAGUACCUUACUACUUGGAUAACCGUGGUAAUUCUAGAGCUAAUACAUGCUGAAAAUCCCGACUUACGGAGGGAUGUAUUUAUUAGAUUAAAAACCAAUGCCCUCUGGGCUCUCUGGUGAUUCAUGAUAACUUCUCGAAUCGCACGGCCUUGCGCCGGCGAUGGUUCAUUCAAAUUUCUUCCCUAUCAACUUUCGAUGUUUGGGUAGUGGCCAAACAUGGUUGCAACGGGUAACGGAGGGUUAGGGCUCGACCCCGGAGAAGGAGCCUGAGAAACGGCUACUACAUCCAAGGAAGGCAGCAGGCGCGCAAAUUACCCAAUCCCGACACGGGGAGGUAGUGACAAUAAAUACUGAUACAGGGCUCUUUUGGGUCUUGUAAUUGGAAUGAGUACAAUUUAAAUCCCUUAACGAGGAACAAUUGGAGGGCAAGUCUGGUGCCAGCAGCCGCGGUAAUUCCAGCUCCAAUAGCGUAUAUUAAAGUUGUUGUGGUUAAAAAGCUCGUAGUUGAACCUUGGGCCUGGCUGGCCGGUCCGCCUCACCGCGUGCACUGGUCCGGCCGGGCCUUUCCCUCUGCGGAACCCCAUGCCCUUCACUGGGCGUGGCGGGGAAACAGGACUUUUACUUUGAAAAAAUUAGAGUGCUCCAGGCAGGCCUAUGCUCGAAUACAUUAGCAUGGAAUAAUGAAAUAGGACGUGCGGUUCUAUUUUGUUGGUUUCUAGGACCGCCGUAAUGAUUAAUAGGGACAGUCGGGGGCAUCAGUAUUCAAUUGUCAGAGGUGAAAUUCUUGGAUUUAUUGAAGACUAACUACUGCGAAAGCAUUUGCCAAGGAUGUUUUCAUUAAUCAGGAACGAAAGUUAGGGGAUCGAAGACGAUCAGAUACCGUCGUAGUCUUAACCAUAAACUAUGCCGACUAGGGAUCGGACGAUGUUAUUAUUUGACUCGUUCGGCACCUUACGAGAAAUCAAAGUGCUUGGCUCCAGGGGAGUA
Molecule: ribosomal RNA, 1039 nt
Filed under: Ophiocordyceps sporangifera
Lineage: Eukaryota; Fungi; Ascomycota; Sordariomycetes; Hypocreales; Ophiocordycipitaceae
Description: SSU rRNA
Rfam family: Eukaryotic small subunit ribosomal RNA
Source: RNAcentral